Molecule: transfer RNA, 73 nt
Filed under: Bos taurus (domestic cattle)
Lineage: Eukaryota; Metazoa; Chordata; Mammalia; Artiodactyla; Bovidae
Also listed under: 2 other names
Rfam family: tRNA
About the family: Transfer RNA (tRNA) molecules are approximately 80 nucleotides in length. Their secondary structure includes four short double-helical elements and three loops (D, anti-codon, and T loops). Further hydrogen bonds mediate the characteristic L-shaped molecular structure. tRNAs have two regions of fundamental functional importance: the anti-codon, which is responsible for specific mRNA codon recognition, and the 3' end, to which the tRNAs corresponding amino acid is attached (by aminoacyl-tRNA synthetases). tRNAs cope with the degeneracy of the genetic code in two manners: having more than one tRNA (with a specific anti-codon) for a particular amino acid; and 'wobble' base-pairing, i.e. permitting non-standard base-pairing at the 3rd anti-codon position.
Source: Rfam by way of RNAcentral
UCCCUGGCAGCCCUGUGGUUAAGACUCUGCGCUUCCACUGCAGGGGGCUCAGGUUCGAUCCCUGGUCAGGGAA